GACGAACGCUGGCGGCGUGCCUAACACAUGCAAGUCAACUUGACUGAAGGAGCAAUCUGACAGUAGAGUGGCGCAAGGGUGCGUAACGCGUAAGUAACUUGCCCAAGGUAAGGAAUAACGUCGAGAAAUCGGCGCUAAUACCUCAUAAUGCAGCGGAUCCGCAUGGAUAUGUUGUUAAAGGUUUACCGCCUUGGGAUAGGCUUGCGUCUGAUUAGUUAGUUGGUGUGGUAACGGCACACCAAGGCUACGAUCAGUAACUGGUCUGAGAGGAUGAUCAGUCACACUGGAACUGAGACACGGUCCAGACUCCUACGGGAGGCAGCAGUGAGGAAUAUUGGGCAAUGCUCGAAAGAGUGACCCAGCAACGCCGCGUGGAGGAUGAAGGUAUUCUAUAUCGUAAACUCCUGUGAGAGCAGACGAAAGACAGAUUAUAAUCUGGAUGACUGUAUGCUCAGAGGAAGCCCCGGCUAACUACGU
Molecule: ribosomal RNA, 477 nt
Filed under: uncultured bacterium
Lineage: Bacteria
Description: bacterial SSU rRNA
Rfam family: Bacterial small subunit ribosomal RNA
Source: RNAcentral